This 563-nucleotide long non-coding RNA is filed under the name Arabidopsis lyrata. RNAcentral's name for it is "long non-coding RNA (ALYR_LNC002337)". The record is from RNAcentral. Lineage: Eukaryota; Viridiplantae; Streptophyta; Magnoliopsida; Brassicales; Brassicaceae.
AUGUGUUGGCUUGUGCUUUGGUUUGGUGAUUGGUUAACUUCGUGUUUGGAGGAGCUAGUAAGACCAUUCGGAUGUGUAGCGUUGUUUUGGAUUGUUAGAUUUUGCUCUGCGCUAUGCGAUCUCGGGGAAUGAGCUUGGUAGAGUGAGCUUGCGUUAUAGUUUUCUUUGGUUCGUGUGGUUCCGUUCUGAGAGAGCUCAUGGAAAGUUCAUGAAGCCGUUUUCUUGUGAUGCGAGUGGAGUCACUGAUUUUGUGCUUUGUGUGCUUCGCCGUUGACGGCUCAGAGUUAUCGGCCUACCGGUGAAAGGCUUCCAUACACUUGGUUUCCAGUAUAUCGGCUUUUGCCGUUUGACAACGUGUUUUCUUCCUCCUUGAGGCGUCUUCUAGGCGAUUCAUCAAAAUAGUUUUAUCGCUUCAUUGAUUCCGAAAGCUUAAUUGCUUUUGUUGAUUUUAGUGGACCGAAUGAUAUUUGCUUCCAUGUUUUUUAUCCUUUUUCUGCCAUGGAACCAAGCUAUAAGUCUUACAUUCUUGUAACUCCUGACAUUUUUCAUUUUUAUGAAAUAUU